CAAGUCGAACGGGGAUAUACCGGAUGAGAGCUUCGGCAGGAUUCGGGUAUAUUCGAGUGGCGACGGGUGAGUAACGCGUGAGCAAUCUGUCCCAGACAGGGGAUAACACUUGGAAACAGGUGCUAAUACCGCAUAAGACCACGGCCUCACAUGGGGCAGGGGUAAAAGGUGCAAACCGGUUUGGGGUGAGCUCGCGUCCGAUUAGAUAGUUGGUGAGGUAACGGCCCACCAAGUCGACGAUCGGUAGCCGACCUGAGAGGGUGAUCGGCCACAUUGGAACUGAGAGACGGUCCAAACUCCUACGGGAGGCAGCAGUGGGGAAUGUUGGGCAAUGGGGCCGAAAGCCUGACCCAGCAACGCCGCGUGAGUGAAGAAGGCCUUCGGGUUGUAAAGCUCUGUUAUAGGGGACGAAGAGCGUGACGGUACCCUAUAAGGAAGCCCCGGCUAACUACGUGCCAGCCGCGGC
RNAcentral lists this ribosomal RNA (466 nucleotides) under uncultured bacterium. Its description in RNAcentral is "bacterial SSU rRNA". It matches the Rfam family "Bacterial small subunit ribosomal RNA", at positions 58 to 518 of the family's 1533-position model. The record is from RNAcentral.